GUAAGCCUGCACUUGCUUCUGAUGAUGAUUUGAAUUUAUUUGAUGCACUCCCUAUUUCUGCUAUGCUCAAACACUCCUCAAAUCCCCUCACUCCUAUUCCUGAAUCCCAGCCAGCCGCACACACCACCACUCCACCACAUUCCCCAAGAUCUUCCUUCUUUCAACCUUCCCCUACUGAAGCACCUCUCUGGAAUUUGCUUCAGAAUCAACCCUCUAGGUCAGAAGAACCAACCUCUCUCCUCACCAUUCCGUAUGACCCAUUACUUUCUGAACCAAUCAUCCAUGAACAACCAGAGCCAAACCAAACAGAACCACAACCCAGAACGUCUGAUCACUCUGUUCCCAGAGCAUCAGAACGUCCUGCUGCCAGAACCACGGAUACAGACUCUUCAACAGCCUUUACACCUGUAUCCUUCCCAACCAAUGUUGCUGAUUCUUCUCCCUCCAAUAACUCUGAAUCCAUUAGAAAAUUCAUGGAGGUUAGAAAAGAAAAGGUGUCUACCUUAGAGGAAUAUUACCUUACCUGUCCAAGCCCUAGGAGAUAUCCUGGCCCUAGACCUGAACGUCUAGUAGACCCAGAUGAACCUAUCUUGGCUAAUCCUUUACAAGAGGCAGACCCUUUGGCUCAACCAGCUCACCCUGUCCCUGACCAACAAGAGCCUUAUUUCAUUUGCAUCAAUUAGAAUCUUCCUUGAACUAGCUUUUUUCUUGUGCUUAUUUCUAGUGCUUCCAGGUUAAGCAGGACUGUAUCAACUGUGGUGUUUGCAUACGCAAGUACUUCUGUGGGACAUGUAAACUCUUUGAUGAUGUGCUAAUCACUAAACCUAAGGUUCUCAACUAAGAAAGAUCCAGAGUGGCUAAAGGACGUAAGGGAACAAGAGGCUAUACUGGUUUGUUGCAAUUGAAGCUGGAAUGGGUACAAAUGUUUUCUAUUGUCUCAAGAUUUUGAAGCCUCCCCAUAUCCACUUUUCCUGUCUUAGGAUUUGGACAUAAAGAAAGGGCACAUACUUUUGCAUUUGUUGUUGCAAUUUUAACUCGUGGUUAGAAUUUUAUCCUCUUUUCUAUGCUACUUUAUAGAGUAACCCCAGAUGCUUGCUGCUAUGGCUUGUCAUAGGCUGAGAUGUAAUUUAAGUAGGCCAAAUAAGAAUUAGGCCUUCUUCACUUUACCUUCUUCCUGAACAUUUGAAGCCUUUCAGAACAUCCUUUAUUUGAGUUCAUGGGUUUCUUUUGAUUGUUUGAUAUCUUUGUUUCUGUUUCCCUUUCACUCAAUGUUUUGGGUAGCCAAUAAUACUUUUAGAGGACGAUUGGAUCUAGAUGGUAGGUAAUAUGCAGUUAAGUCGAUUGAUAGAAAUUUCUUCUCAUGUUAGCACACCUAUCUAUCAUUGUAUUAGGCUUAUAAUUUUAAUGUUAGAUUGCAAGCGCAGAUG
Lotus japonicus is the source of this 1427-nucleotide long non-coding RNA. RefSeq lists it as uncharacterized. The transcript has 3 exons. Lineage: Eukaryota; Viridiplantae; Streptophyta; Magnoliopsida; Fabales; Fabaceae. The record is from RefSeq and is a predicted model, not a curated record.